AAUAGUUACAUACUACACUAUUAAUAUCUGGUCCUACAUGUCAUACACACACUGCGUCUUAGAAUUCGUGCUACAGCUGGCUAUAAAUCUGUAGCCCGCUGCCUUUCUCUCUCCUCAUUUAUCUGCUUAAAAUAUAUUUGCAGUUGGCUUAUAGCCUGCUACUGUAGAGCAGGUACAAUAGCAGGCUAUUAGCCAGCUAUAAACAUAUUUUAAUAAGAUAAACGAUGAGAGAGAAGAGCAGCGGGCUACAGAUCUGUAGCCAGCUGCAGCAUGGACUCCAAGACACACUGUGUGUAUGAUAGGUGGGACCAUAUAUUAAUAGUAUAGUAAGCAACUAUUG
This 340-nucleotide unclassified non-coding RNA is filed under the name Oryza sativa (Asian cultivated rice). RNAcentral describes it as "partial microRNA MIR483-498 precursor". The record is from RNAcentral. Lineage: Eukaryota; Viridiplantae; Streptophyta; Magnoliopsida; Poales; Poaceae.